RNAcentral lists this ribosomal RNA (855 nucleotides) under Myrmecia israelensis. Its description in RNAcentral is "partial large subunit ribosomal RNA". It matches the Rfam family "Bacterial large subunit ribosomal RNA", at positions 952 to 1733 of the family's 2925-position model. The record is from RNAcentral. Lineage: Eukaryota; Viridiplantae; Chlorophyta; Trebouxiophyceae; Trebouxiales; Trebouxiaceae.
AACUAAGAAUACUAGACAAGCUUUCCAUUAACCAGUGAGACGGUGGGGGAUAAGCUUCAUCGUCGAGAGGGAAACAGCCCAGAUCACCAGCUAACGCCCCUAAAUGACCGCUAAGUGGUAAAGGAGGUGAGAAUGCUGAAACAACCAGGAGGUUUGCUUAGAAGCAGCCACCCUUUAAAGAGUGCGUAAUAGCUCACUGGUGGAGCGUUCUUGCGCCGAAAAUGAACGGGACUAAGCGGUCUGCCGAAGCUGUGGGAUUCCAGAAAAAUUAACUUAUUAUGUGCGCAGCACUUUUAAGUUGGACUGGAAUCGGUAGGGGAGCGUUCCGCUCUAGGGUGAAGCAUCGAUGUAAAUUGGUGUGGACAAAGCGGAAGUGAGAAUGUCGGCUUGAGUAACGAAAACAUUGGUGAGAAUCCAAUGCCCCGAAAACCUAAGGGUUCCUUUACUAGGUUCGUCCAUGAAGGGUUAGUCAGGACCUAAGGCCAGACCGAAAGGUGUAGUCGAUGGAGAACAGGUUAAUAUUCCUGUACUGAUUUUUGAAUUGUACCGAGGGACGAAGGAGGCAAUAACUAACUAAUAAUGGAUUUUAGUGGAAGCGUUCGAGGUGUUGAUGGGUAGAAGAAAAACUAACCUUGAGCUGAGACGCGAUACGGUUUUAUUCCCUAAGUAGCUUUUUGUUUCUGAUAAAAGGUUAUUUAUAAUAAAACUUAGUUGAUUGUCAAACUUCCUAGAAAAGCUCGAACUACGUGUGUUCAAAAAUCACCUGUACCCGAAACCGACACAGGUAGGUGGGUAGAGUAUACCUAGGGGCGCGAGAUAACUCUCUCUAAGGAACUCGGCAAAAUGGCCCCGUAA